GAUGAAGAACGCAGCGAAAUGCGAUACUUGGUGUGAAUUGCAGAAUCCCGUGAACCAUCGAGUCUUUGAACGCAAGUUGCGCCCGAAGCCAUUAGGCCGAGGGCACGCCUGCCUGGGCGUCACACGUCGUUGCCCCCCAUCUACUCCUUCGGGAUUGCGGGGGGCGGAUGAUGGCCUCCCGUGCGCCUCGUCGCGCGGUUGGCAUAAAUGCCAAGUCCUCGGCGACGCACGCCACGACAAUCGGUGGUUGCGAAACCUCGGUUGCCCGUCGUGUGCGGUCGUCGCGCAUCGAGGGCUCGAAAAAAUUGCCGGGCUCCGGCUCGGCUUCCAACGCGACCCCAGGUCAGGCGGGGUUACCCGCUGAAUUUAAGCAUAUCAAUAAGCGGAGGA
This 390-nucleotide unclassified non-coding RNA is filed under the name soil metagenome. Its description in RNAcentral is "partial contains 5.8S ribosomal RNA, internal transcribed spacer 2, and large subunit ribosomal RNA". The stretch from base 1 to 122 matches the Rfam family "5.8S ribosomal RNA", at positions 35 to 154 of the family's 154-position model. The record is from RNAcentral.